RNAcentral lists this ribosomal RNA (487 nucleotides) under uncultured bacterium. RNAcentral describes it as "partial 16S ribosomal RNA". It matches the Rfam family "Bacterial small subunit ribosomal RNA", at positions 28 to 507 of the family's 1533-position model. The record is from RNAcentral.
GACGAACGCUGGCGGCGUGCUUAACACAUGCAAGUCGAACGGAAAGGCCCCCAUCUCGGUUGGGGUGCUCGAGUGGCGAACGGGUGAGUAACACGUGGGUGAUCUGCCCUGUACUUCGGGAUAAGCUUGGGAGACUGGGUCUAAUACCGGAUAGGACCAUGGUUUAGUGUCUCAUGGGGGAAAGAUUAUUGUUUUGGUGCAGGAUGAGCUCGCGGACUAUCAGCUUGUUGGUGGGGUAAUGGCCUACGAAGGCGUCGACGGGUAGCCGGCGGGAGAGGGUGGACAGUGACAUUGGGACUGAGAUACGGCCCAGACGCCUACGGGAGGCAGCAGUGGGGAGUAUUGGAGAGUGAGCGCAAGCCAGAUGCAGCGACGGCGCGUGGAAGAUGACGGGCUUCGGGUUGUAAACUACUUGCGUUAGAGGCGAGGCCACGCUUUUUGUGUGUGGUGACGGUACCUUAGUUAAGAAGCACCGGCUAACUACGUG